RNAcentral lists this ribosomal RNA (388 nucleotides) under uncultured bacterium. Its description in RNAcentral is "bacterial SSU rRNA". It matches the Rfam family "Bacterial small subunit ribosomal RNA", at positions 29 to 446 of the family's 1533-position model. The record is from RNAcentral.
AACGAACGCUGGCGGCAGGCUUAACACAUGCAAGUCGAACGCCCCGCAAGGGGAGUGGCAGACGGGUGAGUAACGCGUGGGAACGUGCCCUUCGGUUCGGAAUAACUCAGGGAAACUUGAGCUAAUACCGGAUACGUGCGAGAGCAGAAAGAUUUAUCGCCGAAGGAUCGGCCCGCGUCCGAUUAGCUAGUUGGUGAGGUAACGGCUCACCAAGGCGACGAUCGGUAGCUGGUCUGAGAGGAUGAUCAGCCACAUUGGGACUGAGACACGGCCCAAACUCCUACGGGAGGCAGCAGUGGGGAAUAUUGGACAAUGGGCGCAAGCCUGAUCCAGCCAUGCCGCGUGAGUGAUGAAGGCCUUAGGGUUGUAAAGCUCUUUCGCCAGGGAC